CUUGGUGCUUUUGGCGAUAGGGGUACACCCGAUCCCAUGCCGAACUCGGAAGUUAAGCCUAUCAGCGCCGAUGGUACUUGGGGGGCAACCCCCUGGGAGAGUAGGCCAGUGCCAAGU
RNAcentral lists this ribosomal RNA (117 nucleotides) under bacterium. The record is from RNAcentral.